This 278-nucleotide long non-coding RNA is filed under the name Meriones unguiculatus (Mongolian gerbil). RNAcentral's name for it is "lncRNA (ENSMUGG00000024758.1)". Lineage: Eukaryota; Metazoa; Chordata; Mammalia; Rodentia; Muridae. The record is from RNAcentral.
AUAUACAGGCUGUCUUGUUUCCUUUCUCAUGUUAUUUUAUUUUACGUAUCAUCUUUCCAGGAAUGAAAGGACCUAUUGGAAUACCAGGCUCUCCUGGCCCUGAUGGGGAACCAGGCCUUCCUGGGCCCCCAGGUACAAUUGGUCCUCCAGGAGAUCCAGGAAGAAAUGGACUCCCAGGCUUUGAUGGUGCAGGAGGGCGCAAAGGAGACCCAGGUCUGCCAGGACAGCCAGGUAAAAUGACUAAAACAGUGCUUCUGGUUGUGAUGUUUAUACUUUCA